Molecule: ribosomal RNA, 685 nt
Filed under: uncultured archaeon
Lineage: Archaea
Description: bacterial SSU rRNA
Rfam family: Archaeal small subunit ribosomal RNA
Source: RNAcentral
GCUCAGUAACACGUAGUCAACAUGCCCAGGGGACGUGGAUAACCUCGGGAAACUGAGGAUAAACCGCGAUAGGUCAUAAUAUCUGGAAUGAUUUCUGGCUGAAAUCUAUAUGGCCCCUGGAUUGGACUGCGGCCGAUCAGGCUGUUGGUGAGGUAAUGGCCCACCAAACCUAAAACCGGUACGGGCUCUGAGAGGAGAAGCCCGGAGAUGGGCACUGAGACAAGGGCCCAGGCCCUAUGGGGCGCAGCAGGCGCGAAAACUCUGCAAUAAGCGAAAGCUUGACAGGGUUAUUCUGAGUGAUUUCCGCUAAGGAAAUCUUUUGGCACCUCUAAAAAUGGUGCAGAAUAAGGGGUGGGCAAGCCUGGUGUCAGCCGCCGCGGUAAUACCAGCACCCCGAGUGGUCGGGACGAUUAUUGGGCCUAAAGCAUCCGUAGCCGGUUCUACAAGUCUUCCGUUAAAUCCACCUGCUUAACAGAUGGGCUGCGGAGGAUACUAUGGAGCUAGGAGGCGGGAGAGGCAAGCGGUACUUAGUGGGUAGGGGUAAAAUCCGUUGAUCCAUUGAAGACCACCAGUGGCGAAGGCGGCUUGCCAGAACGCACUCGACGGUGAGGGAUGAAAGCUGGGGGAGCAAACCGGAUUAGAUACCCGGGUAGUCCCAGCUGUAAACGAUGCAGACUCGGUGAUG